UCUCAGUGAUGGAAUCCCAAUAGAUCCUUCUGACCCUCCACUGUGGACUCAAUAGCAGGGAGAUGAAGAGGAACUUGGCUGAGAGA
This 86-nucleotide small nucleolar RNA is filed under the name Myotis myotis. RNAcentral also lists the same sequence under 1 other name. The record is from RNAcentral. Lineage: Eukaryota; Metazoa; Chordata; Mammalia; Chiroptera; Vespertilionidae.